RNAcentral lists this ribosomal RNA (425 nucleotides) under uncultured bacterium. RNAcentral's name for it is "partial 16S ribosomal RNA". It matches the Rfam family "Bacterial small subunit ribosomal RNA", at positions 354 to 796 of the family's 1533-position model. The record is from RNAcentral.
GUAGGGAAUAUUGCACAAUGGAGGAAACUCUGAUGCAGCGACGCCGCGUGAGUGAUGAAGGCCUUCGGGUCGUAAAACUCUGUGAUAAGGGAAGAUGAUGACGGUACCUUAUCAGAAAAGACCGGCUAACUUCGUGCCAGCAGCCGCGGUAAUACGCGGGGUCUAAGCGUUGUUCGGAAUCACUGGGCGUAAAGCGGGUGUAGGUGGCUAUGCAAGUUGGAUGUGAAAGCCCCGGGCUCAACCCGGGAAGUGCAUCCAAAACUACGUAGCUUGAGUGCGGGAGAGAAAGGCAGAAUUCCUGGUGUAGUGGUGAAAUACGUAGAUAUCAGGAGGAACUCCGGUGGCGAAGGCGGCCUUUUGGCCCAGCACUGACACUCAGACCCGAAAGCGUGGGUAGCAAACAGGAUUAGAUACCCCAGUAGUCC